AGAGUUGUGGCUCAGAGGUAGAGCACUCACCUACCAUGCGUGAGGCACUGGGUUCGAUCCUCAGCACCACAU
This is a non-coding RNA of Ictidomys tridecemlineatus (thirteen-lined ground squirrel), 72 nucleotides long. Lineage: Eukaryota; Metazoa; Chordata; Mammalia; Rodentia; Sciuridae. The record is from Rfam.